UGGGGUAUAGCUCAGUUGGUAGAGCAACGGACUUUGAUUCCGUAGGUCCAAGGUUCGAGUCCUUGUGCCCCUGCCA
Molecule: transfer RNA, 76 nt
Filed under: Massilia glaciei
Lineage: Bacteria; Pseudomonadati; Pseudomonadota; Betaproteobacteria; Burkholderiales; Oxalobacteraceae
Description: tRNA-Gln
Rfam family: tRNA
About the family: Transfer RNA (tRNA) molecules are approximately 80 nucleotides in length. Their secondary structure includes four short double-helical elements and three loops (D, anti-codon, and T loops).
Source: RNAcentral